Long non-coding RNA from Diceros bicornis minor, 6549 nucleotides. RefSeq lists it as uncharacterized. The transcript is spliced from 3 exons. NCBI's taxonomy places the organism in Eukaryota, Metazoa, Chordata, Mammalia, Perissodactyla, Rhinocerotidae. The record is from RefSeq and is a predicted model, not a curated record.
GGGGCGCCGAGCCUCCCCUGCUGCUCCCGGGAGGGGCUGUUUUUUCUUUUUUCUCUUAAACGUUUUAAAGGAAGCCGGACGUUGACUGGGAGUUCUUGCUUCUGCUUUGAGCUUUGCCGAGGACUUGACGGGGCCCUUGUUUUAACCCUGGAGUAAAUCUUGGGGCCCUGGGCUCCUGGGAUGUCGACUUAGCUGCAGUGUUUUGAGUUCCUUGGAGGUUCAUGUGAGGUGGAGACAGGUAACUUAGCGUCAGCUGUCCUUGUUUGCUUUUAAAAUGCUGUCGGGGUUGUCGGGCCGGGAGCGGUCUGAACUGAGGCCACUUAACUGAGGGAAAGGACGCGACGGGGCCUGGCUCGUGGGGGAUCCUCAGAAAAUCGUGGGUUCCGCUUCCCUCCCGACGCCCCCGCGCCCGCCAUGCUCGGCCGGGAAGACUGUUGGCUCCCGCCUGCCUUGGGAAGAGUGUAAGGUGGCGGAAACGACCUGUCCCCCCUUUCCAGAUGGUCACUGAGGGAGUCAUGAGGAGGGGCUCGGGGGAGGGGGCGUUUGAACACGACAGAGCCGGUACAUUCCCCUUAAUUGUAAGUAUAGGGAAGCUGAGGUCCAGAAAGAUGAAGUGCCUUGAUGGACCCAAGGCCUCAGGCCUGGUGUGGCGACAGGCGCGGGGAGAAAGGAGUGAGGGAACGGUGUGCGUCGAGCGUCAGCGGUGUGGAGGUGUCUUGCCAGAGGCUUCAUACACGGUACUUCCGUUGAUUCUUGACGUGUCUCCUUUCUGUCACUGUGCUCUCCCUCUGUCCGGCGGGAGUGUUUAUACAUCUAUGAGUCCGUAUUUUAACAAGCUCCACGACCUGAACCGCAGUAACGCCCUUCGGUGGGCUAAGUGGUGGGCGUCCUUGAACCCAGGUACAGGGCAGCGCAGUGCUCAUGCGGACCAGAGGGGGGAAACGCGAAGGAAGUUCCCGAGAACUGCGGCCCGGAAGAGGCGGGGAGGUAGCGGACAGACAAAAUAAUGCGGUCUGUCAUUGCUGCAGGGAAGUUUGGUUGGGGCGGAACUGCAAGUCCGGGAAUGUGUGGACUCAGAUUUUCAGGGCUGCGGUGUGUGGGUAAGAUGGCUGAGGAGCCGAGAGGGGUGACCCGAUCGUCUGCUCUGAUUGCUGUCCUGUAAUUUGGGCGCUAUAAGCAUCCAAUCACCGAACAUACCUACGCCGGCGCAUUGUCAUUUUUAUUUCAUCAUAAAAUUUGUAAUAUUUGUGUUAAUGAUAUAAUUUGAAGGGCUUACCGGGAGAGACAGCAUGGCACUUGUGGCGGGUCAUCGGGCAGUGUUAACUGGAAAGAGCAUCUGGAGAGUAACUGCCAGAAACAUUGUGUUGAGAAGGAUUCUGAGGUCAUGUUCCAGCUCAAGAGGGAAGAACGCUGCCGUGAAGAAGGGAGGAGGAGAAGAUGGCACUUGUGGCACACAUUUCCUCUCCCCCCAGAACUGAGAACAGCAAUGCCUACCAGACACCCUGCUCCUGAGAACGGGAACACCUUGAAGUGCAUCAAGGCACUUCCCAGGUAGAUCUCCAGAAGCAGUAACUGUCUCGAUCUCAGCUUCCCUGUGGUGGGCCAGAAUAAUGUUUUGUACACCUAACAGAGGGAAGCUGCAUACCAUUAGAGAGCUGUAUUAAUCUAAAUCCAGCCCUGACAACUCUUCAACAUGUUGUUUUUCCAAGUUCCAGAUUGCUUCAGUGUGUCCUGUUACCAUUUCUAUUUUUCGUCUUGUCUAGCAGGUGAACUUAUAGUGGAUAAUACCCGCAGUGUUUCUUCCUGAUAAUUUCACCUCACCCCAAGAUGCUCAGGAGCCUGAGAAGUGACUACGUGACUAUUACGAACCUCGUAGAAACUUCUUCCUGUUGCUUGGUUAUUAUCCUUCUGCAUUUUCUGGGGACUUCACCUUGGCACAGUAUGUGAUACUAAGUGUUAAUGAAUGUUGGAUAGUCACUGUAUGAUAAAUGCCGAGAAAAACAAGGAGUGAUGUAAAGAAAGAAGUGAAGAUCUCUGUCUGCCUUUAGCCCAGCUCCAUUUUUACACCACUCAGCAUCAGCCCCAGGGAUUGGGGUCUUCUGCGUGAAAAUAAGAUCAAUUCCAUCACCUCUGACUAGCUCUUCUUGCUGUGGUCCUGGGCUGGAGACAGGCACCUCCCUCACUAGUGUGGCCUGAGGAUGCACAGGCCCCCUGUGCUGGUGGUAACACCCUCACUGCCUAACAGGCUGCCUGACAUUCCCAGUUGGCCAUCCCUUGGGAAUAAUGCCUUGAAAUUUCAUCUUUUUUGAUAAGUGAGAUUUGGAAUAUUCACACGUUAAAAUGUUACUGUUCUCUAACCAGCCCCGUGGCUUAGUGGUUAAGUGUGCACGCUCUGCUACUGGCGGCCCGGGUUCGGAACCCCGGGUGUGCACCGACGCACCGCUUCUCCGGCCAUGCUGAGGCCACGUCCCACAUACAGCAACUAGAAGGAUGUGCAACUAUGACAUACAACUAUCUACUGGGGCUUUGGGGGAAAAAAGGAGGAGGACUGGCAAUAGAUGUUAGCUCAGAGCCGGUCUUCCUCAGCAAAAAGAGGAGGAUUAGCAUGGAUGUUAGCUCAGGGCUGAUCUUCCUCAUAAAAAAAAAAAAGUUACCGUUCUCUAAUAGCACAGUACAAGUUAGUGUCCCUGAUGAGCUGGAAGGAUCACCUCUGAAGGCACUAAAGGAAUGGUAGAACACAAGGCACGUCUUCACUCGAUAAAAAAGGGGCUGGAGGAGAAGGAGCCCUGAGAGAACAAGACCUGCUCUGGGAGGGGUCCAGCAGGAGCCACUGUGGAGGGCCUGGGGCACUCAGAGGAAAACACGGGGCCCCAAGUGACAGGGAGUCAGGUGAAAAACAGUCACAUCUGUGUAGGGAAGACUCAUACCUAAGACCUAAGACCCCCACUACCUUACCCUUCUCCCAAAAUGUGUAGUUACCACCUUGCCUUGGGAUGCUUCUGUGUAUAGAGUGCUACACAGGAGAGAGGAGCGGGGUUUGGUCAACAAUGUUCCAUACUCUAAAGAGACACGUUGUAGUGUUGUGAAUGGAGUAGAAAAAAGACAAGAUUUCUCAGGAAAUAAAAACACUUCCACUCUUACUAACAGUUUUAUCCACUCACAAAUCUGUGUAACUGAUUAAAAAGAUAUUUGAAAAGAAUAUUAAUAUUCAUAGAUGUUAUUUUGGCAAAAUAUGCUAAAAAUUACCACUUAAUUUAUAAUAGUUAAAAAUUGAAUGCAAGCUAAAUGCCCAUGAAGUGAGGACUAGUUAAGUAAAUUCUGCUAUAUACAAUGGAAUUUUAUGAAGUCACAAAAAUAAAGAUGUCUAUACAUCCAUACUUAUUAUUAGAGAAAGCCAUAAGAUAUUGAGAGAAAAGGCAGAUUACAUAACUGAAUGUAUCAUCUGAUCCUACUUAGAAAAACUGUAUAUCCCUAUGAAUCUACAUGCAAAUAGAUGUCUUUAGGGAUAUUCACAAAUAGACUGUGUUAAUAAUGAUCAUCUUCAAAAUGCAAAACUUAGUUGAUUUGGUUUUCCUCUGUUGUUUUUUUUUUUUUUUUCCUUUAAAUCUGUAUCUUUCCAAAAGCAAUAAUGCAUUUUCUCUCUCCAAAAAAGAAUAGCCUAACUGAGUCCUAUUACCUCAAAUGCUUUUCUUCCCCCUCUGGUCUUUGUCUAAAACCAUUGCCAGCUACAACAAGCAAGAAUUGUAAAGAAGAAUCCAUGCCUAUGAUAGAACAGCAUCCAAGCUGAAGGACACCUCGUCCAUGGCUAUAAGACCAGGAGACAAAUGGAAGCAGUGCUUCUAAUGCAGGAAAGUGCAACCUGGAAACUUGGCAUUCUGGACAGAAUUCUAGCUUUUAGACUAAAAGGCAUUAGCUGGUACAACUUCUUGCCUUUGGGUACUGAACGUGUUAUCCUCCAUUUUAUGUAACUCACUAUAAAAUUAGCUAAUUAUAUGCUGCUACUUAAGCUGAGAUACCUUCUGUCCAGUCACUUGGUUUCUGUCUUUUUGAGGGCCAUGCCACCUCACUGCCACUCCCUCAUCCCCUCUCUCCAGGGCUGUACUCUGCGUAGCUGAGUAGAGGGAACUAUGUAAAUAUUAUCUACCUGUGCCUUUUAAUUAUUAAAACAUUUUAAAAGGCAAAUCUCCAAACUGCAGACCAUUGUCUUCUCCAUUGAAAAGUAUUUUCCAGGGGCCGGCCCCGUGGCAUAGCUGUUAAGUGCGCGCGCUCCACGACUGGCGACCCGGUUGGGAUCCCAGGUGCCCACCGACGCACCACUCGUCAGCCCAUGCUGUGGCAGCAUCCCCCAUGAAGUGGAGGAAGAUGGGCACAGAUGUUAGCUCAGGACCGGUCUUCCUCAGCAAAAGGAGGAGGAUUGGUAUGGAUGUUAGCUCAAGGCUGAUCUUCCUCACAAAAAAAGAGAAAAAGAAAAGCAUUUUCCAAAGGUGUAAACUUGAAAGAUAACAAAAAUUAAGUAUAUUUGGUGUACAAAGGGAGACUGAAAAUACUAAACCUCAAACCCAGCAAAUAAGACUCAAUUUCUUUUUUGUGUGUGUGUGUGUGUGUGUGAGGAAGAUCAGCCCUGAGCUAACAUCCGAUGCCAAUCCUCCUCUUUUUGCUGAGGAAGACUGGCCCUGGGCUAACAUCCGUGCCCAUCUUCCUCCACUUUAUAUGGGACGCCACCACAGCAUGGCUUGCCAAGCAGUGCGUUGGUGCGCAACCUGGAGGCGAAUCCGCAAACCCCAGGCCGCCCCAGCGAGCGUGCACACUUAACCGCUUGCGCCACCAGGCCGGCCCCUCGAUUUCUUUUAAGAAACCUCCACCUAGAAAGAGGACUCCCGCACUGCAGCUCAGAGCCUUGUCCUAAAUGAGAUAAUGAGAGGCUCGUGGUACCUGCUUUGUAAAGCCGGAUGCAGCCCUGUUACUGCCAGCUCCAGAAUCCAGGUGUCCCGCUCCUCCGCUACAUCAUCCACUCAGAAAAUCACAGCAGCUGAGCUCUGUGAAUUAAACAACGUGAUUGAUCAACACUGAUCUGAAUUCCUACAUUUCUACAAAAUUACUAAACAUUGAACUAACUUCGAUUUGUAAUAGCCCUCUACAACAAAAUAAUUGAAUAAAUCCCUUAUUCAAUGAGUCAAUACAGCAGAAUUACAUCAACAAAUACUUGGGUGUCUACUGUGGUCUCAAGGAGCUGAAGAAGCUUGGAAAAGAGUUUGUAAACAUGGAAGAGUUUGUAAACAAACUGGGGAGGCUUAAUGGGAAACUCAUUUAUUCAGAGCCAAAAAUCCAAGACCAGUAAGGAGGUUUUUUUUAAUUAUAGAAUGCUCUUUUUAUGCCUAAAAAAAAUAAAAUAAGGUUGUGAGGUGAAUCUGAAGAAUAAAAGAAACAUCAGACUGUAUUUAACAAUGUUCUUCAUAAAGAAUAUUUUGUUACAGUUUUAAUUUUCUGAAUAAUAGUUGUGUGAGUUGAUAUAUAGUCAACAUUUUGAAGGCUACAAUGACAACAGCCACUAUCACCCCAGUCUCCCUCACGGAACCACUGGGGGAGAUUUCAAUUUUAUGUGUCAACAUACCAUAAAAAUGUAAAGAAUUAGCGAAGCUGUAUAAAUAAUAAAUUAUCUACAAAAGUCUGGUUUUUUUUAUUUCUGUGAAGAAGAUUGGCCCUGAGCUAACAUCUGUUGCCAGUCUUCCUCUAUUUUGUAUGUGAACGCCACCACAGCAUGGCUUGAUGAGUGGUAUGUAGGUCGGUGCCAGGGAUCUGAACCUGCAAAACCUGGGCCGCUGAAGCGGAGCAUGUGAAUGUAACCACUACACCACCAGGCCGGCCCCUCUGUAAAAGUUUUAUAUGGAAAUAUGAAGUUGACAUGUUUAGCUAUCCCAGUUCAGUCAAGAUGACCAGAACAGUUUCAGAGAAGCAGAACUAGAAUUUGAUUUGAACUAAGAAAAUUUAAACCUGAUUAUAUUGGUAAUGCCUCUUAUUUCCCUUUCAUUUUUUUAAAAAUCAAUUUUAAUGAGGUAUAGUUUACAUAAAACAAAAUACUUCCAUUUUAAUUAUCAAAACAUUUUGAUGAGUUUUAACAAUUUAAUAUACCAAUGUAACCACCACUACCACAAUCUAGAAAAAGAACAUUUUCAAAAUAAAAAAAAGAUACAGACCAUUUUCAUUACCCUCCAAAUUCCCUUCUGCCCAUCCAGGUCAAUACUCCUCGACCUCAGGCAACCCCUGAUCUGUUUUCUGUCAUUAUGGAUCAAAUUUGUCUUUUCUAAGGUUUCACAAAAAUUUAAUCAAAUAGUAUGUAUAAUACUCUUUUGUGUAAGUCUUCUUUUGCUCAGCGUAACGUUUUGAGAUUCAUCCGUGUUGUUGUGUGUAUCAGUAGUUCAUUUGUGUUGAUCGCUGUGUAGUUUUCCAGUGUAUGAAUAUACCACAGUUUGUUUAUAUACCACAAAUGUCAAUGGACAUUUAAGUUGUUUCUAGUUUUUGUCUAUUAUAAAUAAAGUCAUUAUGAGCAUC